RNAcentral lists this RNase P RNA (305 nucleotides) under Klebsiella pneumoniae. RNAcentral describes it as "RNA component of RNase P". It matches the Rfam family "Bacterial RNase P class A", at positions 43 to 351 of the family's 367-position model. Rfam says of the family: Ribonuclease P (RNase P) is a ubiquitous endoribonuclease, found in archaea, bacteria and eukarya as well as chloroplasts and mitochondria. Its best characterised activity is the generation of mature 5'-ends of tRNAs by cleaving the 5'-leader elements of precursor-tRNAs. RNAcentral also lists the same sequence under 45 other names. The record is from RNAcentral. Lineage: Bacteria; Pseudomonadati; Pseudomonadota; Gammaproteobacteria; Enterobacterales; Enterobacteriaceae.
GAGGAAAGUCCGGGCUCCAUAGGGCAAGGUGCCAGGUAACGCCUGGGGGGUGUCACAGCCCACGACCAGUGCAACAGAGAGCAAACCGCCGAUGGCCCGCGCAAGCGGGAUCAGGUAAGGGUGAAAGGGUGCGGUAAGAGCGCACCGCGCGGCUGGUAACAGUCCGCGGCACGGUAAACUCCACCCGGAGCAAGGCCAAAUAGGGGUUCAUAAGGUACGGCCCGUACUGAACCCGGGUAGGCUGCUUGAGCCAGUGAGCGAUUGCUGGCCUAGAUGAAUGACUGUCCACGACAGAACCCGGCUUA